This 74-nucleotide small RNA is filed under the name Arabidopsis thaliana (thale cress). RNAcentral's name for it is "ATSL130350". The record is from RNAcentral. Lineage: Eukaryota; Viridiplantae; Streptophyta; Magnoliopsida; Brassicales; Brassicaceae.
UUCGGAUUUUUAAGAGCAGCGUCGGCUCUUUUUGCCUCUUGAUGACAUUGAAAAUGAAUUAUGUUGAAGUAGCU